RNAcentral lists this long non-coding RNA (289 nucleotides) under Brassica napus (rape). RNAcentral's name for it is "long non-coding RNA (BNAP_LNC016605)". Lineage: Eukaryota; Viridiplantae; Streptophyta; Magnoliopsida; Brassicales; Brassicaceae. The record is from RNAcentral.
UUUUAUGAAGCUGUAUUUUUUUGAACUGUAUAAAGCUGUAUUUUUCAUUAAAACCAUCGUGAAUGUGAUUGUUCUUAUAAUAUUUGCCCAAACGGAGUCUCACUUGUGUGUUACCUAUAAUUUGUGAAACUGAACUUAGUUGUCAAAUAAAAUAAGGUGGUGAUUCUAACAGUCCUUCAACACUAAGAUUAUAAACAUUAACCCACCACCAAAAUGUAAGUUAUCUCUUCGCCACCAGUAAUUCAUUUUUAAGCACCUCACCCUAUGUAAUAUACAAGAAAAGUGGAAG